Molecule: ribosomal RNA, 494 nt
Filed under: uncultured bacterium
Lineage: Bacteria
Description: partial 16S ribosomal RNA
Rfam family: Bacterial small subunit ribosomal RNA
Source: RNAcentral
GACGAACGCUGGCGGCGUGCUUAACACAUGCAAGUCGAACGGAAAGGCCUGCUUUCCCUUGUGGAUUGCGGGUGCUCGAGUGGCGAACGGGUGAGUAACACGUGAGUGAUCUGCCCCCAACUUGGGUAUAAGCCUGGGAAACUGGGCCUAAUUCCCGAUAGGACUGCAGGGUGGUGCCUGUGGUGGAAAACGAUUUUCUAGUGGUUGGGGAUGAGCUCGCGGCCUAUCAGCUUGUUGGUGGGGUAAUGGCCUACCAAGGCGGCGACGGGUAGCCGGCCUGAGAGGGUGGACGGCCACAUUGGGACUGAGAUACGGCCCAGACUCCUACGGGAGGCAGCAGUGGGGAAUAUUGCACAAUGGGCGGAAGCCUGAUGCAGCGACGCCGCGUGGGGGAUGACGGCCUUCGGGUUGUAAACUCCUUUCGACCGCGAGGAAGCCACCUGGUUGGAAGGGUGGUGACGGUAGUGGUAGAAGAAGCACCGGCUAACUACGUG